RNAcentral lists this small RNA (639 nucleotides) under Pongo abelii (Sumatran orangutan). Its description in RNAcentral is "retained intron". Lineage: Eukaryota; Metazoa; Chordata; Mammalia; Primates; Hominidae. The record is from RNAcentral.
GCUUGAAGCAAAAUAAAAACAGUGAAUUGAUGGAUCCCAAAUGCAAACAGAUGAUAACCAAGCGCCAGAUCACCCAGAACACAGAUUACCGCUUAAACCCCAUGCUAAGAAAAGCCUGUAAAGCUGACAUUCCUAAAUUCUGUCACGGUAUCCUGACUAAGGCCAAGGAUGAUUCAGAAUUAGAAGGACAAGUCAUCUCUUGCCUCAAGCUGAGAUAUGCUGACCAGCGCCUGUCAUCAGACUGCGAAGACCAGAUCCGAAUCAUUAUCCAGGAGUCCGCCCUGGACUACCGCCUGGAUCCUCAGCUCCAGCUGCACUGCUCAGACGAGGUGGGAUUUGCAUGCAAAAGUGGUUACGCACAGAGCUGCUCAGAGAAGUUUCCAUUGGAGAAAAGUUGUUUACUUUCUCUCCUUUCAGCCGUGAAUGAUCUGGUGAAUUGAAGGCCAUCUUCUAGGGCUCUCCAUGGUCUGCAUUCCUGUUCUCUGUAACACUGAAUUCAACUUGGCGUUAGUCCUGACACUCUAAAGCGUUGUUCCAUAUUUCUCUGUUGAACAAGGGUGUUCUUUCAUUAUAGCUCUCUGUAAAUUUGUUCUUCCUUCUCGUUAUUCUGGAUGGUAAACCCAAGACUUGCCAGAAAGA